Molecule: ribosomal RNA, 1399 nt
Filed under: Trichococcus ilyis
Lineage: Bacteria; Bacillati; Bacillota; Bacilli; Lactobacillales; Carnobacteriaceae
Description: 23S rRNA. Bacterial LSU
Rfam family: Bacterial large subunit ribosomal RNA
Source: RNAcentral
AGCAAGUCUGAGAACGAGUGAAAUGCUUUUUCUCUCAAGGACAAGCUGUGAUGGGGAGCGAAAUUUAGUAGCGAAGUUCCUGAUGUCACACUGCCAAGAAAAGCUUCUAGUGAGAAAGUAACUGCCCGUACCGCAAACCGACACAGGUAGUUGAGGAGAGAAUCCUAAGGUGUGCGAGAGAACUCUCGUUAAGGAACUCGGCAAAAUGACCCCGUAACUUCGGGAGAAGGGGUGCUGACCGCAAGGUCAGCCGCAGUGAAUAGGCCCAAGCGACUGUUUAUCAAAAACACAGGUCUCUGCAAAAUCGAAAGAUGACGUAUAGGGGCUGACGCCUGCCCGGUGCUGGAAGGUUAAGAGGAGAGGUUAGCGCAAGCGAAGCUUUGAAUUGAAGCCCCAGUAAACGGCGGCCGUAACUAUAACGGUCCUAAGGUAGCGAAAUUCCUUGUCGGGUAAGUUCCGACCCGCACGAAAGGCGUAACGAUUUGGGCACUGUCUCAACGAGAGACUCGGUGAAAUUAUAGUACCAGUGAAGAUGCUGGUUACCCGCGACAGGACGGAAAGACCCCAUGGAGCUUUACUGCAGUUUGAUAUUGCGUGUUUGUAUCACAUGUACAGGAUAGGUAGGAGCCGAAGAUACCGGGACGCCAGUCUCGGAGGAGGCAACGGUGGGAUACUACCCUUGUGAUAUGACCACUCUAACCCGCUGCUCUUAGCGAGCAGGGAGACAGUGUCAGACGGGCAGUUUGACUGGGGCGGUCGCCUCCAAAAAUGUAACGGAGGCGCCCAAAGGUUCCCUCAGAAUGGUUGGAAAUCAUUCGUAGAGUGUAAAGGCAGAAGGGAGCUUGACUGCGAGACCUACAAGUCGAGCAGGGACGAAAGUCGGGCUUAGUGAUCCGGUGGUUCCGCAUGGAAGGGCCAUCGCUCAACGGAUAAAAGCUACCCUGGGGAUAACAGGCUUAUCUCCCCCAAGAGUUCACAUCGACGGGGAGGUUUGGCACCUCGAUGUCGGCUCAUCGCAUCCUGGGGCUGUAGUCGGUCCCAAGGGUUGGGCUGUUCGCCCAUUAAAGCGGUACGCGAGCUGGGUUCAGAACGUCGUGAGACAGUUCGGUCCCUAUCCGUCGCGGGCGUUGGAAAUUUGAGAGGAGCUGUCCUUAGUACGAGAGGACCGGGAUGGACACACCGCUGGUGUACCAGUUGUUCUGCCAAGAGCAUCGCUGGGUAGCUAUGUGUGGACGGGAUAAACGCUGAAAGCAUCUAAGCGUGAAGCCCCCCUCAAGAUGAGAUUUCCCAUCACUUCAAGUGAGUAAGACCCCUGAGAGAUGAUCAGGUAGAUAGGUUGGGAGUGGAAGUACAGCGAUGUAUGGAGCGGACCAAUACUAAUCGGUCGAGGACUUAACCA